UACGGGGGGAGCAAGCGUUGUUCGGAUUUACUGGGCGUAAAGGGCGCGUAGGCGGCCACCGCAAGUCGACUGUGAAAUCCCUCGGCUUAACCGAGGAACUGCCUUCCAGACUGCUUGGCUUGAGACCAGGAGAGGUGAGUGGAAUUCCCAGUGUAGCGGUGAAAUGCGUAGAUAUUGGGAGGAACACCAGUGGCGAAGGCGGCUCACUGGACUGGUACUGACGCUGAGGCGCGAAAGCGUGGGGAGCAAACGGG
Molecule: ribosomal RNA, 254 nt
Filed under: uncultured bacterium
Lineage: Bacteria
Description: partial 16S ribosomal RNA
Rfam family: Bacterial small subunit ribosomal RNA
Source: RNAcentral